This 1270-nucleotide long non-coding RNA is filed under the name Ovis aries (sheep). RNAcentral's name for it is "lncRNA (ENSOARG00000026492.1)". The record is from RNAcentral. Lineage: Eukaryota; Metazoa; Chordata; Mammalia; Artiodactyla; Bovidae.
AGAUGGAUGUCUAUUUUACUUCUUACAUCAAAAUGAAUUCCACAAGGAAAAUAGUCAAAGAUUAAGAAUAAAUAAAUUCACAUGAAUACUGGGGAAAAAAAAAAACAUACAAGAAUCCAUAAGAUAUCUUUCCUUCUUCUUCUUCUUCUUCUUCUUCUUCUUCUUCUUCUUCUUCUUCUUCUUCUUCUUCUUCUUCUUCUUCUUCUUCUUCUUCUUCUUCUUCUUUUUCGCUCCUCUAUCAUCCUUCUUCAGUCUGCCUAUCUAUAAUCCAUUCCUCUCACAAUGGGGAUUUAGCACCUCAACAAAACUGAUAGAUAUUCAUAAUGGAAAACACAUGUCACUAUGUCCUGUCAACUUUUUUGUUCCUUCUCUAGAAUCUUUGGAGUGGGAAGCCACGGAGAAGGAGCAGCGAAAAAGGAUCACUUGAACGCCAGCUGCCAGAGCAAAGAGGAAGCUGGAAAGAGGCUCCAGGAGGAUCACAGCUCCCGCAACUGGGGCAGCCGGUGUCCCUGCACGCCCGGUGCCGCCAGGGUCCCCGCGAGCCAAGCAGGGGAUCCAAGCAGGGGAUCCAAGCAGGGGAUCCAAGCAGCGCCCGCUCCAGGCCCAGGCCCCACUGGGGCAGACUCAGGUCCUCCAGGGCAGCCUCAGGAGGGAACCCCAGUGGACGACCCUCAGGCAGCGGUGGAGGUGAAACCACAACCGAAAACCAACUGGAAACCAGGGGCAGUGCGGCUAAGCGAGAGGCCACCAGCUGUACAAGCUGCAGAUUAAAUCCACACGAUCAGCGAGGCCGACUGCGCCUGUCGAAUAUAUAAAAGGACAAUGAGAGGUCCCGCAAAAGAAAACUCAGUAGCUCUGGCAGCCAAGGAGGCCGGAGGCCAGAACACGCAGCAGCAGGACUCGACGAGAGUCGGGGCUGCCCCACAGCAGGUCCAGAGGCCAGUGCAGAGUUGGAGGGCGUCCUAGGAGGUGAAGGGGACUCCGACUCACAGUGAGGGGAAGGACGCGGACAGCUGAGAUCUGAGAAAAAUUCUUCUUCUUCUUCUUCUUCUUCUUCUUAAACAUUGAUUUUCUUGAUUUGGACUGACAUUUUUCCCAAGGAAUGGGAGUAUAUGAAGGGUUAAUAGGGUAGCAGAGAUGUGCCUGCAAACGGGUCUCUCUGCUCAGGCUUAGCAUCCUUGCAUAUGAGGCGUUCUGCCAAAGAGUCUGGACACAGCCUUGAGUUUAAUGGUCCCUUGCAAACAAGGGAGCAUUCCCUUCUUGAGAUAAG